RNAcentral lists this small nuclear RNA (105 nucleotides) under Mus pahari (shrew mouse). Lineage: Eukaryota; Metazoa; Chordata; Mammalia; Rodentia; Muridae. The record is from RNAcentral.
ACGCUCGCUUUGGGAACACAUAGAGUAAAACUGGGCAGAUAACAGAGAAGAUUAGCAUGGGCCCUGCUCAAGGAUGACGCGCAAAUUCACCCACUUUCUCCUUUU